Molecule: long non-coding RNA, 3166 nt
Organism: Pogoniulus pusillus (Red-fronted tinkerbird)
Lineage: Eukaryota; Metazoa; Chordata; Aves; Piciformes; Lybiidae
Exons: 4
Source: RefSeq, a predicted model, not a curated record
GCCCAUUUGGGCAGAGGGAGCCUCCUCCCAUCGUCGCUGGUGCUCUGUGGCUUGUUUGGACAAUCCAUGGCUUUGUUUCCAGGUGGCUCAAGGUCUAAAGCUACUGCACAGGUCCUACUCCAAAGUCGAAUUUUAGGUGCUUAAUGAAGACAAGUAGACAUGAUCUUCUCUUGGCUGUAGCCUGGGUAAAGCCUCUUGCCUGAAUUCAGACUGGCAUAUGAAAUGCCAUUCUCCUUUUCUGCAGGGAAUGGCCUUCUGCUGCUGAAUCAGCAGGAUAUGCCCUGUGACAGACUCCAGCUGGUGGAAGAGCUGUUAAUGGGUCAGAAAUCCGUGUCCCACUCUAGCCUCCCUCCAAGCAAUGUGCAUGAGAGAGGCACAGGGCCGAGCAAACGGCAUGGGAGAGGGAAGUGGAGACCCCUGAUACACACAGCUGUUAUCUGUGAUAAGCUGCAUCCUGUGCCGUGCUCCACCUCUCUGCAGCAGGGAAGGCGUUUGAACUCCAAGACCUUUUCUCAGUGCAGUCUCUAUCUGAUAAACACACAGCAGGCAGCUGGAAGCAAAAAACAAAGUUCAGCCCAUUCCCAGUGACUCAGUUUCUAAGACUUCUGACCAGUUUCCUAAACCUCUGCCUUUAGACAUUUUUUUAGGCAGUGUAGGUACAUCUAAGCCAUACAAAUGGGUGAAGAAGUUCAUAAUAGUCCUGUAGAGCAGUGAAGUGAAGAAAUGGAGCUGAAAAAGGGGGGGAAAAAACCCCACCAAUUCUAUCUAAGCAGGGCAGUAAGAAAGCCAAGUUUCUUCCAGGAGAAACUUGUUUAAAGUGUCUGCAGCUGACCUCUGAUCACUGGAGUGUGGUUGUUGGCUUGUGAUGCAGUUUGUAACCACUUCCCUUGCUCUGACAGUUGUGUUCGUGCUCUUGGAUGGAAAUCUUCAGGAAUGCAGCAGUGGACCUUCUUCCUCAGUGCCCUCCUCAGGGACUCUUCACUCAUGAGCUUCAUCCUCUAACCUGAAGCAGACCUCCGUCCUCAAGGAUGAAGACAUUAGAAGAGACAGAUCACAGCCAUUGUGCUGGAGGCCCAAGGCCACUGCAACCCAUAGAGGUGGCAGGCAUUGUUACUCCCCUGCCCCGUCCCUCCUGAGAUGUGCCACGAUACCAAGGCAAACUCUGCGGGGGAACAUCGGAGUGCCCCGCACCGGGAGCCACUGCAGCCCUGCUGGGUAGGUGACGUUUUGUGCCAGCGCUGUGCCUGGGGGCUGCUGGUCUCCCAGCUAGGGGAAGGCUGCCCUCGGGCUUACCCCCAGGCGUGGUUGCUUUGUGUAGCAGAAGAUCAGUCAGUAGGAAAAAUGCUGCCUUUGGGGGGGUGUAUUGGUCUCCCUUAUAUAAAGGACCGCAUGAGGAGACGAGGCUGCAGCUGGGCAGGUCUCGGAGGCUGCUGCCCAUGCCGAGGGACGCCACUCCACACAGCCUCCUGGGGGCUGUCACAGCAUCCCUCCGCACCAGAGGGGCGCAUCGGUGAAUUCAGACCUUCCGCGCAGCCCGGCCGAGCUCCGCGCCGCGGGCCCUGCGGCAGCGCUUCCCCGGGCAGGCUGCAGGCCGGCGGAGCUGGGGAACGCACAGCGGAGCCGUCCCCGUCCCGGCGCGCCGCUGCCGCCGACCGCCUUGGCAAUAGCGCCACCUGCGGGCCGCGCAGCGCCUAGGCAGGGAGCGGCGGCGGAGGGCGGAAACGUGGGCUCUGCUUUAGCGGCGUCCCCGGCGGUGUGGGAACCUACAUCUACACGGUGAGAGCAUCAACAAAAGAAACGUGAGAUUACUUCAUCGAAAGAAGCCUACCCAGCAGGUCGAGAGACGUGGUUCUGCCACUCUGCUCUGGUGAGAUCUCGCCUGGAGUGCAGCUCUGGAACCCUCAACACCCGCAGGAUGUGAACCUGAUGGAGCAGGUCCAGAGGACCACCAAGAUGCUUGCUGGAGUAGCUCUCCUACAAGAACAGGCUGAGGGAGCUGGGGAUAUUCGGCCUGGAGAAAAGAAGGCUCCAGGGAGAUCUAAUAGCAGCCUUCCAGUAGCCGAAGUGGGCUACAAGAAGAGUGCAGAGGAACUGCUUGCAAAGGCCUGCAGUGAUCCAAGGGGCAGUGGUUUGAAAUGAGACAAGAGAUUUAGAUUGGAUGUUAGGAACAAGCUCUGCACAAUGAGGGUGGUGGAACACCAGAACAGGCUGCCCAGGGAGGUGGUUGAGGUCCCAUCCCUGGAGAUAUUCAAGGUCAGGCUGAACAGGACUCCAAACAACCUGAUUUAGUGGAGGAUGUCCCUGCUGACUGCAGAGGGGUUGGACUAGGUGACCCUUGGAGGUCCUUUCCAACACAGCCCAAUCACAGGAUUCUAUACUUGGCACUAUUACCACAUUCACAGACUACCCCUGACCUUCUAAUCCACUUGUCUCUACAUCACCAACAUCUGAUCUUGGUUCUGAACACUUCAGUCCUACUCCAGUGAAAACAGCAUUUGACUGUUUGCUAAACCUCUCCAGAGCAUCCUUCUUUCCUCCACACCUUUGGUGUAGUGCCUGACUCAUUCUCACUUACACCUUGUACUUGGACCAAAACCUGCUGGUUUUGAUUCCUUUCUCUUCAGGCACUGAGAUGUCAGUAAUCAGUGGACUCUGACCGAUGGCCUGUAUGGACAAUUCCUCUUACUUGAGCAUGAAAUUAUUUCUAACAAUAGGAUGCUUUUAGAAUAAGAGACUGAGACAUAACCCAGAAUCCCCCCAAAGAACAACUGCCAGUGCAUGGCAGCCAGGCUCUUUGCCUGGUACACAUGAUGAGGUUGGUCUUGCAUACCCCAGAGCUGCUGCACACUUCUGGCAAGGGAGAAUCUUUUAUUUUUCAAUGACUAUUUCCAGAGACUUGGGGUUUAUUUCAGUCAUGUCUCACAUGAAGGGAAAGAAAUGAGAGGCUGUUUUCAAAAUCAGAUUAACCACAGUUUCUUCCCACUUGCCAAGCCCUAGCAGCCAGAGCUCUGUAGCUCUUUUCAUGCCAGCUACCCUAUAUCUCAGUCCCAAACAAGUAAUCCAUACUCCUAUUUGACUUUGAUAGCAGGACUGAACUGGCUAGGGCCAGAGCUGUGAUUUCAGACCCAGCACAGGCAAAUCUCACUUUUCACACUUGUAUGGAAAA